This is a small nucleolar RNA of Sarcophilus harrisii (Tasmanian devil), 77 nucleotides long. NCBI's taxonomy places the organism in Eukaryota, Metazoa, Chordata, Mammalia, Dasyuromorphia, Dasyuridae. The record is from Ensembl.
UCUCACUGAGGACUGCCUAAUGGAGUCAUUAUUCUGGGUCACUGAUCCCAUAAUGAAGGAAUCAUAGAUCUUAGAAA